This 253-nucleotide ribosomal RNA is filed under the name uncultured bacterium. RNAcentral's name for it is "partial 16S ribosomal RNA". It matches the Rfam family "Bacterial small subunit ribosomal RNA", at positions 524 to 776 of the family's 1533-position model. The record is from RNAcentral.
UACAGAGGGGGCUAGCGUUGUUCGGAAUUACUGGGCGUAAAGCGUGCGUAGGCGGCUUGAUAAGUCAGAAGUGAAAGCCCAAGGCUUAACCUUGGAAUUGCUUUUGAUACUGUCAGGCUUGAAGGUGGUAGAGGAUAGUGGAAUUCUUAGUGUAGGAGUGAAAUCCGUAGAUAUUAAGAGGAACACCAGUGGCGAAGGCGACUAUCUGGGCCAUUCUUGACGCUGAGGUACGAAAGUGUGGGGAUCAAACAGG